UCUGUGUUGGUAAUCCUGUCGAACAGUUCUUUAAAAAAAUAUAUCUAUAUAUCUCUCUCUAUCUAUCUAUAUAUAGCUAAAGCAAUGGAGAAAACACCUGUCUCCAGAUUACAUCUUAAAACUAAGGGCAACCGUAGUAUGGCAUUCCUGACAAGGAGACGCGUCCAUCAUGCAUGAUGAUGUAUACAGGGAAGAUAGCUAGCCACAUUUUCAGAUAUUACAUGUUUCUCAUUUUGACAACAUGUGGUUUCAUUUCGACCUAGAGUAUAUUGGCUGGCUCCCUAGCUGACGUUAUUUGUUUCCCAGAGCCGGUUUCUUUUCUAGUUAGAGCUAGCUAACAUUGAACUAGCUGGUUAGCUCCCAGCACUGUGGCAUUGUUGCCACUUUGUUCAUUGUUGUUUAGCUAGCUAACGUUAGCUGGCUGGCUCGUUAGCUAACGUCUCGUGAUGUGUGUGAUCUUAAACGUUGUUCACCUAGCUAAGUUCAUUGUUAGCCAGCCUGCUAUGUUUCCCAGAGCUGUUUGCUUUUUUAGUUAGAGCCUAAAGUUUCAACACCGGUUGAAUAUGGCCAGCGUCAGUAAACGUCUGCAAAAAAAGCGUAAUGAAAUUGUUGCCAGCAGAGCUAGCCGUUUUCAUGUUAUCCAGAGGCUAUCAGCACUUAUCUCGCAACACCAGCCCUGGCACCACCAACCAAGCACGUUGCCAGGCUACACACCAUUCAGGAUGGGAGGAGGGAAAGGAAGAACAGGGGAGAAGAAGAGAAAAGAGGAAGAGGAGUGAAGUGGAGUCCUAUGCCAGACGUGCCACAGUGACCAGUAUCUAUAGACUGUGGUGCCCAUGUUGGGUCCUUCCCAGGCAGGGGGCGGGUGACCGCUGGCACAGUGAUAAGUAUGAGGCGGGGUGCGACUGGCAUGGAUACCUCCUGCCAACCGGAGAAGGGAUGUGAUCAGGACGACACAGGAAAUCAGGGAGAAUCCUACCCCUGCAAAGGAGUGGGUAGAGGUAGGGUAAAGUAGUGGGAUACAGAGGGACGAGACUCUCUCCUUCAUGCCUCACUGGAGCAUGGCACUGACUGUUACUCUGCUGGAGGCAUGGGACCAGAGAUGGACGACUAAGAGAGACAGCACGAUGGAAGAGAUAUGGAUGGGGAGAUGAAGAGCGAGAGGAGGGAGUGAGAGGGAUAAAGUGGCAAAGGCAGAGAGACCUCAGGAGCAGCUCAGUGCCAUUUUGGAUUUUCUGGCGUGUAGCUGUUUUCCAACGAUGUGGCUUGUUUUUGACCACCAGUUUGUAUUUGCCCUUCAGAAUUUUGAUUUCAUUUAUAAAUGUCACUUAUCUUAGCAGUUAUUAGUCAUAGCCAUGCUGUGGAUUUCCAAUAUAGUAUAAUAACCUUUACGCAUGCACGCGCGCGUAUACACCUGUCCUCCCCCUCCCAACACAUGCAUUAUGAAACACCAACACACACAUCCCUCCAUUGCGGUCCGGACCAGUUAAGGGCGCUGGAGUCGUGGUGAGGUCAGCUCUUUGAAGCCAGUUCUCAGGGUAGAAAAAGGUCAGACAUACGGUGUGCGUGUGCUAGUGUGUCCAAGUGUGUUUGUGAUAGAAAAGGUGAGACAGAAUGGCAGCAAAUGAGUUGUCAUCUCCAGCUCUUAAAUAAUGCAUGGGAAUUGUUGGAGCAUGAACGCUCAGCCACAGACUGUCGGUAGAAGAAAGAGGGAUGGAUGGAUAGAUGGAUUGGAGGGAUCCUCUGCUUUGAAUAGCACAGCACUUUGUAAUAAUUAAAAGCACCAAUGCAUGCAUGAUUCAUGGGGCGCCAGGAAUAUUUAGAGCUACUUACCGUCUGUACACACCCGACAAAAUCACACACACCUUCCUUCUACCCUCAGCCUGUCACUCUUCAAGGACAUUAGUUGAUACAAUGUAGAAGUAUAUUAGAUGUAAUAACCUUUAUAUUUUACAAGACAGGUGAAUAGAGCAGUCUUUUACUACAAUGACCAAAAAUACAAAAGCAACCAUUUCAAAUAUUACAGUUUAUAUAAGGAAAUCUGUCAAUUGACAAAAUCAUUUGGCCCUAAUCUAUGGAUUUCACAUGACUGGACAUACAGAUAUGCAUCUGUUGGUCACAGAUACCUUUAAAAACAAAAAUAGGGGUGUGGAUCUGAAAAGCAGUCAGUAUCUGGUGUGACCACAAUUGGUCUCAUGCAGCGCAGCAUCUCUUUCGCAUAGAGUUGAUCACACUGUUGAUUGUGGCCUGUGGAAUGUUGUACAACUCCUCUUCAAUGGCUGUGCAAAGUUGCUGGCUAUUGGCGGGAACUGGAACUCGCUGUUGAUCCAACGUGAUGGAAGAACUGGGACAUUUUCAGCUUCCAGUAAUUGUGUACCGAUCAUUGCGACAUGGGGGCGUGCAUUAUCAUGCUGAAACAUGCAGAUGAAUGGCACGACAAUGGUUGUCACGAUCUCGUCACGAUAUCUGCGCAUUCAAAUCGCAGUCGAUAAAAUGCAACUGUGUUCGUAGUUCUCUGGCAACAGCUCUGGUUGACAUUCCUACAGUCAGCAUAUCAAUUGCACGCUCCCUCAAAAUAUGAGACGACAUCUGUGGCAUUGUGUUGUGUGACAAAACUACCUUUUAUUGUCCCCAGUUUCUUGAUAUGCCACACCUGUCAGGUAGAUGGAUUAUCUUUGCAAAGGAGAAAUGCUCACUACAGGGAUGUAAACAAAUAUUUGAUUUCAGCUCAUGUAACACGGGACCAACACUUUUCAUGUUGUUUAUAUUUUUUGCUCAGUAUAUGUACGUACACUGACUAAAUAAAAUACAAAGAAAUAA
Oncorhynchus nerka (sockeye salmon) is the source of this 2820-nucleotide long non-coding RNA. RefSeq lists it as uncharacterized. NCBI's taxonomy places the organism in Eukaryota, Metazoa, Chordata, Actinopteri, Salmoniformes, Salmonidae. The record is from RefSeq and is a predicted model, not a curated record. The transcript has 2 exons.